GCCUACUUAGCUCAAUAGGCUAGAGCAUUGGUUUUGUAAACCAAGGGUUAUCAGUUCAACUCUGAUAGUGGGCU
This 74-nucleotide transfer RNA is filed under the name Bulbochaete rectangularis var. hiloensis. RNAcentral's name for it is "tRNA-Thr". It matches the Rfam family "tRNA". Rfam says of the family: Transfer RNA (tRNA) molecules are approximately 80 nucleotides in length. Their secondary structure includes four short double-helical elements and three loops (D, anti-codon, and T loops). The record is from RNAcentral. Lineage: Eukaryota; Viridiplantae; Chlorophyta; Chlorophyceae; Oedogoniales; Oedogoniaceae.